AUGAACGCUGGCGGCGUGCCUAAUACAUGCAAGUCGAGCGAACGGACGAGAAGCUUGCUUCUCUGAUGUUAGCGGCGGACUGGUGAGUAACACGUGGAUAACCUACCUAUAAGACUGGGAUAACUUCGGGAAACCGGAGCUAAUACCGGAUAAUAUUUUGAACCGCAUGGUUCAAAAGUGAAAGACGGUCUUGCUGUCACUUAUAGAUGGAUCCGCGCUGCAUUAGCUAGUUGGUAAGGUAACGGCUUACCAAGGCAACGAUGCAUAGCCGACCUGAGAGGGGGGACGGACACAAUGGAAAUGAGAAACGGUCCAGAAUCCUAAGGGAGGCAGCAGUAGGGAAUCUUCCGCAAUGGGCGAAAGCCUGACGGAGCAACGCCGCGUGAGUGAUGAAGGUCUUCGGAUCGUAAAACUCUGUUAUUAGGGAAGAACAUAUGUGUAAGUAACUGUGCACAUCUUGACGGUACCUAAUCAGAAAGCCACGGCUAACUACGUG
This 496-nucleotide ribosomal RNA is filed under the name uncultured bacterium. RNAcentral describes it as "partial 16S ribosomal RNA". It matches the Rfam family "Bacterial small subunit ribosomal RNA", at positions 29 to 507 of the family's 1533-position model. The record is from RNAcentral.